This 21-nucleotide non-coding RNA is filed under the name Caenorhabditis elegans. The record is from RNAcentral. Lineage: Eukaryota; Metazoa; Nematoda; Chromadorea; Rhabditida; Rhabditidae.
UUAAACUUAGAACAAAAAAUA